AGACGAUCUUCGGAUGAGUCAGGAAGAUGGAAAGCGGCGGACGGGUGAGUAACGCGUAGGCAACCUGCCCUCAGCAGAGGGAUAGCCAUUGGAAACGAUGAUUAAAACCUCAUAAUGCUGCAGUAACACAUGUUACAGCAGCCAAAGAGUUUAUCGGCUGGGGAUGGGCCUGCGUCUGAUUAACUGGUUGGUGAGGUAACGGCUCACCAAGGUAACGAUCAGUAGCCGACCUGAGAGGGUGAUCGGCCACAUUGGAACUGAGACACGGUCCAAACUUCUACGGAAGGCAGCAGUAAGGAAUCUUGCACAAUGGGGGAAACCCUGAUGCCAGCAACGCCGCGUGAACGAUGAAGGCCUUAGGGUUGUAAAGUUCUGAUCUGUGGGAAGAAGAAAGUGACGGUACCACAGGAGAAAGCCCCGGCUAAAUACGUGCCAGCAGCUGC
This 443-nucleotide ribosomal RNA is filed under the name uncultured bacterium. Its description in RNAcentral is "bacterial SSU rRNA". It matches the Rfam family "Bacterial small subunit ribosomal RNA", at positions 60 to 518 of the family's 1533-position model. The record is from RNAcentral.